AAAUCUCAAAAGUGUAACUAAAAUAAUUCAACUGAAAUAAAUGCAAUCUUAUUCCAUUGACUGACACAAAUUAUAAAGUCUCACAGUUCUAAAUACGCAGCGGAACAAUAAAGAUAAAACAUCAAUUUAAAUAAAACCUAAUCUAAAAUAACUUGUGCCAUAAUUCUUUUAUUCGCUCUUCCAUAUUGUAAAACUCCGGAUCGAGCUAAUUCUUUGGAUCUGUAAAAAUAGUAAGAAAUCGUAUAAUGAGCUAGACAGCCCAGUAAGUAAUAAAUACUUUAACUAGACAAUUCAUAUAAUAACAUAAAAUAUAAAUACAAAUUACGAUGAAUCAGCAUAAAGACAUAAUCAAUUUCUUUUCAAACACAAAUCCAACCGUAUCUUUCAAAUAUCCAUAUACAUAAUCAUAAAUAUGAUUCGAAAGAAAUCACAUUCAUCUCAACAGCCUUUAACUAUGACCACACUUAUACCCUGUGGCUAGGCUAGAAACAGAACCGCACUUAUACCCUACGGAGUGGGCCAGAAUACCGCACUUAUACCCUACAGAGGGGCCAGAAUACCACACUUAUACCCUGUGGUGGGGCCAGAAUUGCCAAUGCAUAACCCCCAAUUGGCAGGGUCCAGAACAUAGUCAGGCUGAGAGUUUCAAAUCUGAUGCACAUCAAAAUUCUUUUGUAACAUAAUAAAUAUAUCAUAAUCCGAUGUAAAUAUGCAUAUACGACGCAAGAACAGUAAAUAUAUCCGAAAAAUAUUAUUCCAAUUCAUCUAUCUAUCUUUCAUUCAAAUCAACAUCUCGUAAAAUUCAUAAAUCACAUAUAAACUCAUUAACAAUUUAUUCGAUGCAAAAAUAAUAUUAUAUAAAUGAAGAGUCUAGAAAAGGCAGUUCAUUACUUACAUUGAACGCGAUCCACAACAAAUCCAAUUAAUCUCACAAAUUCCUC
RNAcentral lists this long non-coding RNA (941 nucleotides) under Phoenix dactylifera (date palm). RNAcentral describes it as "long non-coding RNA (PDAC_LNC015842)". The record is from RNAcentral. Lineage: Eukaryota; Viridiplantae; Streptophyta; Magnoliopsida; Arecales; Arecaceae.